GAUGUUGAGGUCACCGAGCACCGUGGUAUUCAUCAUGCAUUUGUUCCUGCAGUUGUUCAUAUAUUGUCAUAAUAGUUUAGCAAGCAGGUCAGAGUGAAAAUUAGAAGAUGAACUACCACAAUGCAUUACAUAACUUUAAAUUCUGUCUUCAGCUUGUCUUCUAAUUCAUUCCAUAAUCGACAAUAAUCAAGACAAUUGAUGAAUAUACUAAUCUUGAAGACAUGGGAAAGCAUUUCUGAUGCUCUAUUUGAGUCUGUCGAUAUUGACACACUAGAUUUGGCCUCACAGGGGGGUAACACAGAGUAAGAAUGCUCAGACUUAAUUUAUACACAUGGAACCAAAUACCUCCAUUCACAGGAUGUUCUUUUUCAGUAAGUUGAUACUGGUGAAACACCUCUUGAGGGAUUAGCUUUGGAAGAUGGCUGUCGCUCCUCCUGACUGGAGGCCUGAGACCUCAGAGAGGAGAAAAACAGUAUCAGAUCCAACCGGAGAUAGCAGGGCUUUGCCGUAUAAUUACCAUGUUAACCCAGAUGAUUCUCUCUGAUCUCGGCAAACAUCAGGGCGCAGGCCCCGCCAGGCCGGCUUAGGCACGGAUCUGUCACAGUGCACUGUGGGACGCUGCAUGUAUGUUAGCUCGCUAGCAAUAGGACUUUUGGUGCUAUCUGCAUAUACUUUAUUUUAACCCCCUUGUGUGUUUUAGUUCACACAGUUCAGGCACUUACAUUUUCAAACCUACAUAAAAAAAGAAAAGAAAAUGCAAAUAUUCAUAUGAAAGACCUGCAUGAACUGAGAAAUCUUCCUCUAUUGUUCCUGUUUGGAAAUAUAUUACGACUUGCAUACUUUCAAAAGUGUCAAGAUACAAGACCCCUGUUUUUUUGUAAAAACUUGUUUAAAAUCAUAUUUUCUUCUGAUUAGUUAAUUCCGUCAUUCUACACCUACAUAUCUUUCUUUAAAAUCUAAACCACACAAAGGGAUAUAUGAGAUGAGAGCGCUGUUUCUUCAUUGAAUGUUAUCCUCCUGAAUGUGAGUAGAAAUUCUGUCUUCGGUCGCUUGCUUCCUAAGCCUUAUUGAUCUGUGGGUGUUUUUUUCUCCUCCAUUCUCCAAAGUCACUAAGCUUGCAUCAAUUCAUCUUAAUCUGUUUGCUCCUUAAACCCGGAACAAGGCAUGUCUUGUUUCCUGGUUGUAGGAGUCUCUCGGCUGGCUUCCCUCACAUCCUUCCUGGCCGGGCUUCUCCUGGGUGGCAACAAGAGGCUUUUCAUAUCGAAUCAAGUGUUAUUGAGUUUCCCCACACACCUCUUAUAUUCCCCCCUUUUUUUCAGUCCCUCCAUCACUUCUAUCCCCUUUUAACAAAGCAUUCCUUUAACGACUGUGGGAUUAUGGGCCAACCUUUUGCAGCCGGUCCGUGGACUGGCCUGUAAUCUGACCUCAUUACACCCCUUGUGACAAGCUCCUGGGUCACCACAGAGUGACUAUACCGUAUCCUCCUGAUAAGCCAGGCAGGACACAAGCCCCUACUCCCAAGUUGAUACUCAGCCAACCAAGUCAGGCAUCCAGGCUACCUUUUCCUCAUCGCCAUACCUGUCCAGCUAAGCGUAACGUGCCUUGAUCCUGUUCACUUCCCUUAACUUCUCCUCCAUUACACCCCGGAUGAAUGCUCAUUUGUUUGGGCAGAUGAAAACACAAUUGCGCGGUUCCAGGCAUGUCGGUGUCACCGAUUAUUGUGGAAGGGACAUGUUACACGGGUUCCUAAUUUUCUCCAUAGGGAGUUAAGGCCAGCGAGCUUUUUCCUGAUUACCAUAUAGCCACACACACACACACACAUUUACACACAGACAACGCACACUACACUGUACUGUGUGUUCCCUUCUCUGUCUGGCCUUACACACUGGGCCUAAAGACAAACACGAGUUGCGUGGGGUCUCGUUGUAGAGUCUGCUUUCAUGGUGUAAUCUUAUACAGGUCUAUGUACUAGGUAGUGGCAGUUAUUGCUUUGUAAAUGGCACAUUAACAUAAACUUAUACUGCUUGUAUGUCUUGCUUUGGCAGUUACAGUAACAAGACACUGCAGUAUAUAGCAUUUAAAACACAACUACAUUACAAUAAAGUUCUUAUGUUCUGCUUAUUUCUGUUCGAAAUGAUGUCAGAGGGCAAAGGCUCUAAAGCAAACUUUUUUCUCCAUUUAUCCCUUUUAUCUCUUCAACCUUCUAUGACUCCAGUGCUCCUACAGGUCACCUAUUUAUCCAUCAUCCCUCUCUCUCUUGCUACCCAGUCCAUCCCCUUCUCCAUCCCUUCACUCCCCUUGCAUUUGUCCCUUCAUCCCGCCGGUGUUUGAGGGGCAGCUGUUGACAGCAAGCUGGCAUGUUGUCAGGCCCACAAGGCAGGAUUGUGCGGUUGCACUGUGCUUCAGAGGACAAGGGAGGCCAAAGCAGGUCCAUUACAUCACCCCCAUCAACACUGAUUGGGCUCAGGACGGGGGUCCGUGCAUGCUCAUGAGCGGUUGGCCUGGCCCCGGCCCAUAUGCCUUUAAUACAGGAACAGAUGUGGAGCGCAGACCCUGAGCUCUCACUCCCCUUAUUGCCUCCUUCUGCCCUACACACUGCCUCAAGCCAGUCAUGUUGUCCUGGGCCAUGCUUAGUGGGCCGCUGGUUACAGGUUUAAUGUGAACUAACUGGCAUGCUUAGAUGGUUGCAUGGAGAGUAUUAUUACAUCUCACAUGACCUAACUCCAGAUCUGUCUUUGUUUUGUUCUGCAGGUGAUAGAAACUAUGGAAUUAUUGGCCGAUGGGCAAACUUGUACAUUGUCGAGCCGUUAGGGUUUCUUUUAGACCAAAUGGACCAAAAUGGAUUAAAGAAAGGUGUCAGUUCAUAUCUCAUUACUUAUCAACUACUUAUUGGUAUAUUUCUAGAGUCAGUGAUGAUAACUGUAGCCAAAAUCAAUCCCAUAGACCAAAAGGCCAAACGACAGUGCUGGGACACCCUGAUCAUUUCUAUUGGUCCCAGACAAUCUCUGCUAAAGGCACAUCCACGUAGAGGUCUGAGUCAUUUGUUGGACCUGAACCAGGGGCAACUAGGGAGAGGGACGGGCCACACCCCGGUCCACUAACCUCAUAUCCACAGCGUAAAUAUGGAAUCCAGAUGAGCCAGAGCCAAGACCCAUGUGAUUGUAGUUCAUCACAGGGAUGUUGUACCUCCAGCUCCUGUCAGUGAGCUAUUGCCCCUGUGAGUUUUUUCUGUGUGGCCAAAACAAGAGUAGGCAUGUUUGGUCUGUCAUGUAAUUUCGGCCUUAUAGCUUGUAUGGGUCAAAGCGAGGAGGGAAGGUAGCGACGGAUAUAUUUGCACGUCGACAGAGGAAAGGAAAGAAUCAAUUGUAAAAAAGUAAAUGUAUGGAUGUAAACACUUAUUUAAAAUAGACAGAUGGGGAAACAAAAAGAAUACGAAUAAAAAAGCAAAAAUAUAUGAUGGUAGUCAAGCAACAGACAAGAAGCAGCAGGGGAUGACUCAUAUCUCCUUAAUAGCAUCCUUCUCCUGUUAGCUGUGCCAAAGCGGCAGCCAAUCGGAUCCUGAGGUCUCUGGCAGCUAUUUCCUGGAGAGGGAUUACCGACCCCUCCUAUUGGGCGGGACAAGGCCUCCUGGUCUGAAUUCAUCAGCGACACGGCCUACGAGAUGUAGGAAGCAGGUUAAUAGACACUCAUCAGACAUCUGCCGCUGGGUAUCCGUCCAAUAAUCUUCUCCCUGGAUCAACUGCCAGCAAUUGAUGACCACAUUUUCCCCCCUAAACCCUUCAACUGCCCUUCCUCCCUCCCUGCCUCCCCCCGCUCUCUCCCUCCCCACCUCUCUGUUCCUCCCAAUCGCUCUUCUACGUACACACGAUACACACAGACAACUGCACUCUUAGACCAUCUCUGUGGUUGGGUCAGCACACACACACACACACACACACACACACACACACACACA
Long non-coding RNA from Gasterosteus aculeatus aculeatus (three-spined stickleback), 3955 nucleotides. The record is from Ensembl. Lineage: Eukaryota; Metazoa; Chordata; Actinopteri; Perciformes; Gasterosteidae.